GUUUUAAUAGUUGAGGUACAACAGUGGUUUUUCGAGUCGCAGGUUUUGGUUAAUGGCCAAAUUAAAACG
This 69-nucleotide transfer RNA is filed under the name Takydromus intermedius. RNAcentral describes it as "tRNA-Glu". It matches the Rfam family "tRNA". Rfam says of the family: Transfer RNA (tRNA) molecules are approximately 80 nucleotides in length. Their secondary structure includes four short double-helical elements and three loops (D, anti-codon, and T loops). Further hydrogen bonds mediate the characteristic L-shaped molecular structure. tRNAs have two regions of fundamental functional importance: the anti-codon, which is responsible for specific mRNA codon recognition, and the 3' end, to which the tRNAs corresponding amino acid is attached (by aminoacyl-tRNA synthetases). tRNAs cope with the degeneracy of the genetic code in two manners: having more than one tRNA (with a specific anti-codon) for a particular amino acid; and 'wobble' base-pairing, i.e. permitting non-standard base-pairing at the 3rd anti-codon position. Lineage: Eukaryota; Metazoa; Chordata; Lepidosauria; Squamata; Lacertidae. The record is from RNAcentral.